This 567-nucleotide ribosomal RNA is filed under the name Heleophryne purcelli (Cape ghost frog). Its description in RNAcentral is "partial 16S ribosomal RNA". It matches the Rfam family "Bacterial large subunit ribosomal RNA", at positions 1831 to 2597 of the family's 2925-position model. Lineage: Eukaryota; Metazoa; Chordata; Amphibia; Anura; Heleophrynidae. The record is from RNAcentral.
CGCCUCUUGAAUAUAUAAGAGGUCCAGCCUGCCCAGUGACUUUGUUCAACGGCCGCGGUAUUCUGACCGUGCGAAGGUAGCGUAAUCACUUGUUCUCUAAAUAAGGACUAGUAUGAACGGCACCACGAGGGCCACACUGUCUCCCUCCCCCUAUCAGUGAAACUGAUCCCCCCGUGAAGAAGCGGGGAUCUAGAUAUAAGACGAGAAGACCCCUUGGAGCUUCAAACGACAUGGCACCUGCUUAACAAACCCACCCCACGGAACUACCAUUCUAAGCAAGCACACAUGACCACUAGUUUUUGGUUGGGGCGACCCCGGAGAAUAACAAAACCUCCGAGAUGUAUAGGGCACCCGCCCUAAGCCGAAAGCCACUGCUUUAAGCAUCAACCCUUUGACACCCCUUGACCCAAUUUAAUUGAUCAACGAACCAAGUUACCCCGGGGAUAACAGCGCAAUCCAUUUUCAGAGCCCCUAUCGACAAAUGGGUUUACGACCUCGAUGUUGGAUCAGGGUACCCCAGUGGUGAAGCCGCUACUAAAGGUUCGUUUGUUCAACGAUUAAAACCCU